AUUGAACGCUGGCGGCAUGCCUUACACAUGCAAGUCGAACGGCAGCACGGGGCAACCUGGUGGCGAGUGGCGAACGGGUGAGUAAUGCAUCGGAACGUACCUUUCAGUGGGGGAUAACGUAGCGAAAGUUACGCUAAUACCGCAUAUUCUGUGAGCAGGAAAGCAGGGGAUCGCAAGACCUUGCGCUGAUUGAGCGGCCGAUGUCAGCUUAGCUAGUUGGUGAGGUAAAGGCUCACCAAGGCGCCGAUCUGUAGCGGGUCUGAGAGGAUGAUCCGCCACACUGGAACUGAGAAACGGUCCAGACUCCUACGGGAGGCAGCAGUGGGGAAUUUUUGCCAAUGGGGGCAACCCUGAUCCAGCCAUGCCGCGUGAGUGAAGAAGGCCUUCGGGUUGUAAAGCUCUUUCGGCCGGGAAGAAAUCGCACGGGCUAAUACCCUGUGUGGAUGACGGUACCGGAAUAAGAAGCACCGGCUAACUACGUGCCAGCCGCCGCGGUAA
This 498-nucleotide ribosomal RNA is filed under the name uncultured bacterium. Its description in RNAcentral is "partial 16S ribosomal RNA". It matches the Rfam family "Bacterial small subunit ribosomal RNA", at positions 30 to 523 of the family's 1533-position model. The record is from RNAcentral.